CUAAGCUUGACAUCCUUUUGACCGAUGCCUAAUCGCAUCUUUCCCUUCGGGGACAGAAGUGACAGGUGGUGCAUGGUUGUCGUCAGCUCGUGUCGUGAGAUGUUGGGUUAAGUCCCGCAACGAGCGCAACCCUUGCCUUUAGUUGCCAGCAUUAAGUUGGGCACUCUAGAGGGACUGCCAGGGAUAACCUGGAGGAAGGUGGGGAUGACGUCAAAUCAUCAUGCCCCUUAUGCUUAGGGCUACACACGUGCUACAAUGGGUGGUACAGAGGGCAGCCAAGUCGUGAGGCCGAGCUAAUCCCUUAAAGCCAUUCUCAGUUCGGAUUGUAGGCUGAAACUCGCCUACAUGAAGCUGGAGUUACUAGUAAUCGCAGAUCAGAAUGCUGCGGUGAAUG
RNAcentral lists this ribosomal RNA (394 nucleotides) under uncultured bacterium. Its description in RNAcentral is "bacterial SSU rRNA". It matches the Rfam family "Bacterial small subunit ribosomal RNA", at positions 975 to 1367 of the family's 1533-position model. The record is from RNAcentral.